UGGGGAAUAUUGCGCAAUGGGGGGAACCUUGACGCAGCAACGCCGCGUGAAGGAUGAAGGCUUUCGGGUUGUAAACUUCUUUGAUGAGGGACGAAAGAAAUGACGGUACCUCAAAAACAAGCCACGGCUAACUACGUGCCAGCAGCCGCGGUAAUACGUAGGUGGCGAGCGUUGUCCGGAAUUACUGGGUGUAAAGGGCGUGUAGGCGGGGAUGCAAGUCAGAUGUGAAAUGCCGGGGCUUAACUCCGGAGCUGCAUCUGAAACUGUGUUUCUUGAGUGUCGGAGAGGAAAGCGGAAUUCCCAGUGUAGCGGUGAAAUGCGUAGAUAUUGGGAGGAACACCAGUGGCGAAGGCGGCUUUCUGGACGAUAACUGACGCUGAGGCGCGAAAGCGUGGGGAGCAAAACAGGAUUAGAUACCCGUGGUAGUCCACGCUGUAAACGAUGGAUCUAGGUGUAGGAGGUAUCGACCCCUUCUGUGCCGGAGUUAACACAAUAAGUAUCCCACCUGGGGGAGUACGGCCGCAAGGUUGAAAACUCAAAAUAAUUGACGGGGGUCAUAGCUGUUUCCU
This 569-nucleotide ribosomal RNA is filed under the name uncultured bacterium. RNAcentral's name for it is "partial 16S ribosomal RNA". It matches the Rfam family "Bacterial small subunit ribosomal RNA", at positions 355 to 938 of the family's 1533-position model. The record is from RNAcentral.